This 1408-nucleotide ribosomal RNA is filed under the name Apilactobacillus kunkeei. RNAcentral's name for it is "bacterial SSU rRNA". It matches the Rfam family "Bacterial small subunit ribosomal RNA", at positions 55 to 1422 of the family's 1533-position model. Lineage: Bacteria; Bacillati; Bacillota; Bacilli; Lactobacillales; Lactobacillaceae. The record is from RNAcentral.
AUGCAGUCGACGAGCUCUCCCAAAUUGAUUUUAUGCUUGCAUAAAUGAUUUUUGGAUCCCUGAGCGAGUGGCGAACUGGUGAGUAACACGUGGGUAACCUGCCCCGAAGCGGGGGAUAACAUUUGGAAACAAGUGCUAAUACCGCAUAAUUAGUUGGAACCGCAUGGUUCCAACUUGAAAGAUGGCUCUGCUAUCACUUUGGGAUGGACCCGCGCCGUAUUAGUUAGUUGGUGAGAUAAAAGCCCACCAAGACGAUGAUACGUAGCCGACCUGAGAGGGUAAUCGGCCACAUUGGGACUGAGACACGGCCCAGACUCCUACGGGAGGCAGCAGUAGGGAAUCUUCCACAAUGGACGAAAGUCUGAUGGAGCAACGCCGCGUGAGUGAUGAAGGUUUUCGGAUCGUAAAACUCUGUUGUUAAAGAAGAACAAGUGUUAGAGUAACUGUUAACACUUUGACGGUAUUUAACCAGAAAGCCACGGCUAACUACGUGCCAGCAGCCGCGGUAAUACGUAGGUGGCAAGCGUUGUCCGGAUUUAUUGGGCGUAAAGCGAGCGCAGGCGGUUUUGUAAGUCUGCUGUGAAAGCCCUCAGCUCAAACUGAGGAAGUGCAGUGGAAACUACAAAACUUGAGUACAGAAGAGGAAAGUGGAACUCCAUGUGUAGCGGUGAAAUGCGUAGAUAUAUGGAAGAACACCAGUGGCGAAGGCGGCUUUCUGGUCUGUUACUGACGCUGAGGCUCGAAAGCAUGGGUAGCGAACAGGAUUAGAUACCCUGGUAGUCCAUGCCGUAAACGAUGAAUACUAGGUGUUGGAGGGUUUCCGCCCUUCAGUGCCGCAGCUAACGCAUUAAGUAUUCCGCCUGGGGAGUACGACCGCAAGGUUGAAACUCAAAGGAAUUGACGGGGGCCCGCACAAGUGGUGGAGCAUGUGGUUUAAUUCGAUGCUACGCGAAGAACCUUACCAGCUCUUGACAUCUUCUGCCAACCCAAGAGAUUGGGCGUUCCCUUCGGGGACAGAAUGACAGGUGGUGCAUGGUUGUCGUCAGCUCGUGUCGUGAGAUGUUGGGUUAAGUCCCGCAACGAGCGCAACCCUUAUUAUUAGUUGCCAGCAUUUAGUUGGGCACUCUAGUGAGACUGCCGGUGAUAAACCGGAGGAAGGUGGGGACGACGUCAAAUCAUCAUGCCCCUUAUGAGCUGGGCUACACACGUGCUACAAUGGAUGGUACAACGAGUCGCGAAACCGCGAGGUCAAGCUAAUCUCUUAAAGCCAUUCUCAGUUCGGAUUGCAGGCUGCAACUCGCCUGCAUGAAGUUGGAAUCACUAGUAAUCGUGGAUCAGCAUGCCACGGUGAAUACGUUCCCGGGCCUUGUACACACCGCCCGUCACACCAUGAGAGUUUGUAACACCC